Molecule: ribosomal RNA, 234 nt
Filed under: Triticum aestivum (bread wheat)
Lineage: Eukaryota; Viridiplantae; Streptophyta; Magnoliopsida; Poales; Poaceae
Description: partial small subunit ribosomal RNA
Source: RNAcentral
AUGGAUUCGAGGGGGAAUGCAAUCCGCGAGUUCAAUCUGCCCCAUGACAGUGCCGCUCCGGCAGGAGCAGCGCGUCCAGAAUACCCGACGGUGGUAGAUGUCGAACUGAAGACAGAAUUGAAGAAGAUGAACAAGAACUUGAAGCAGCUGAUUGAGUUGAAGAAGCAAUCCAAUCUGAUAGCUUUAGGAAUACUUGCUCUAGGAAUUUUUUACUUGAUGGCCAUCUCUCGUUAG